Molecule: long non-coding RNA, 500 nt
Filed under: Rosa chinensis
Lineage: Eukaryota; Viridiplantae; Streptophyta; Magnoliopsida; Rosales; Rosaceae
Description: sRNA RchiOBHm_Chr1g0325661
Source: RNAcentral
AUUUUUUUUGCACAUUGUCUCUCACUUACACUUAGCUAGUCUUUGAGAAAAACAGUCUUCUUCUUCUCAAAGACAACCAGUCUUCUUCUCUUAAAGAGUCGAACCCAUCUUCUUCUCGAAACCCAUCUUCUCAAAACACCAUCUUCUGAAAACACUCGAUUAAGGUUCGAUCUACUCAAUUAGGGUUUUCAAUUUGGGGAUUUGAAGGAGGAGGAAAAGGAAGAGGAGGGGGGGUGGGUGUUUCUCGGCUACAUUAAUCGAUAAAUCUACUGAGUCAAAUUCUGAUACUCUUAUGCGAAUCGAUGAAUCUUCCCCUUUCAACAAAACAUCCGGUGGAGAUCUGCACACUAUAUAUGUCUAAGGUCUCGAGCCAAGCUGACAUUCAAGCGCCGUCUCAUGCCCAUCUAACUAAUUUCUUAAGGUUCAUAACUUGAGAUCUCUCCUCUCUGGUUAUUAUUUAGAUAUUGGUUAUCAUGUCCCUGUGGUUGUUUACAAUGUGA